GGGGGAUCAUGGCUCAGGAUAAACGCUGGCGGCGCACAUAAGACAUGCAAGUCGAACGGAAGUCGUUGUAAUGAUAUAGACAUGGACGGAGAACUUGUUCAAAGAAAGUGAAAGUUGACUUACAACAAUGGCUUUAGUGGCGGACUGGUGAGUAACACGUAAGCAACCUGCCUAUCAGAGGGGAACAACAGUUAGAAAUGACUGCUAAUACCGCAUAUGCCUAAGUAUCAC
This 231-nucleotide ribosomal RNA is filed under the name uncultured bacterium. Its description in RNAcentral is "partial 16S ribosomal RNA". It matches the Rfam family "Bacterial small subunit ribosomal RNA", at positions 11 to 189 of the family's 1533-position model. The record is from RNAcentral.